This 650-nucleotide ribosomal RNA is filed under the name Glochidion xerocarpum. RNAcentral's name for it is "eukaryotic LSU rRNA". The stretch from base 254 to 409 matches the Rfam family "5.8S ribosomal RNA". The record is from RNAcentral. Lineage: Eukaryota; Viridiplantae; Streptophyta; Magnoliopsida; Malpighiales; Phyllanthaceae.
UUUCCGUAGGUGAACCUGCGGAAGGAUCAUUGUCGAUACCUUGUCGUAUGACCCGCGAACAAGUUUAAUCACUGCGGAUGGAGCCCUGUGCUCCUGAAGCAAGGUCCCCUGGGGUGCUAUGCUCCUUGCGGAGGCCAGUAAACAAACCCCGGCGCGGAAAGCGCCAAGGAAAAUGAACAGAAAAGCGAGAUCUCUACAAUCACCUCGGAAACGAUGUGUGCAUGGUAGUUGUUUCUCCUUUCAUAACCAAAACGACUCUCGGCAACGGAUAUCUCGGCUCUCGCAUCGAUGAAGAACGUAGCGAAAUGCGAUACUUGGUGUGAAUUGCAGAAUCCCGUGAACCAUCGAGUCUUUGAACGCAAGUUGCGCCCAAAACCCUCGGGUCGAGGGCACGUCUGCCUGGGUGUCACGCAACGUCGCCCCAUCACUCCCCUCAUGGGGUACUCGUGAAAUUGGGGCGGAAAUUGGCCUCCCGUGAACUUCAAGAUCGCGGUUGGCCCAAACAUGAGACCAUGUCGGUCAAUGCCGUGGCAUUCGGUGGUUGAAAAUACCCUCACAACGCCUCGUUCAUUGGCCGUACUACAAGGAUCUCACCGACCCUACUUAUCCGACGCGACCCCAGGUCAGGCGGGAUUACCCGCUGAGUUUAA